GCUAAGCCGUCAACAUUGAGGGUUUCUUUUACCUAACCGUCCGCCAGAGAACUACAAGUGAAAAACUUCAAACUUAAAGGACUUGACGGUAUCCCAAAUCGACCUAGAGGAGCCUGUCCUAUAAUCGAUACCCCCCGCUCCACCCAACCUCAACUAGCACAUAUCAGCCUAUAUACCGCCGUCGACAGCCUACCCUAUGAAGGUCCAACAGUAGACACAAUAGCCCCCCGCUAAUACGUCAGGUCAAGGUGUAGCAAAUGUUGAGGAAGAGAUUGGCUACAUUUUUUAUGAUAAAAAAAACGAAAAGCACUAUGAAAUAGUACACGAAGGUGAAUUUAGUAGUAAAAUAAACAAGAGUGUUUAUUUUAACACCGCUCUGGGAUGUGUACACACCGCCCGUCACCCUCCUCGUCUUAACAUAAACUUAAUUUAUAAAUCAAAACACCCUACUAGAGGAGGU
RNAcentral lists this ribosomal RNA (460 nucleotides) under Anatololacerta danfordi (Danford's lizard). Its description in RNAcentral is "partial 12S ribosomal RNA". Lineage: Eukaryota; Metazoa; Chordata; Lepidosauria; Squamata; Lacertidae. The record is from RNAcentral.